This 253-nucleotide ribosomal RNA is filed under the name uncultured bacterium. RNAcentral's name for it is "partial 16S ribosomal RNA". It matches the Rfam family "Bacterial small subunit ribosomal RNA", at positions 524 to 776 of the family's 1533-position model. The record is from RNAcentral.
UACGGUGGGGGCAAGCGUUGUUCGGAAUUACUGGGCGUAAAGGGCUCGUAGGUGGCCAACUAAGUCAGACGUGAAAUCCCUCAGCUUAACUGGGGAACUGCGUCUGAUACUGGAUGGCUUGAGUUUGGGAGAGGGAUGCGGAAUUCCAGGUGUAGCGGUGAAAUGCGUAGAUAUCUGGAGGAACACCGGUGGCGAAGGCGGCAUCCUGGACCAAUAUUGACGCUGAGGAGCGAAAGCCAGGGGAGCAAACGGG